Molecule: ribosomal RNA, 451 nt
Filed under: uncultured bacterium
Lineage: Bacteria
Description: SSU rRNA
Rfam family: Bacterial small subunit ribosomal RNA
Source: RNAcentral
AGAGCGAACGCUGGCGGCAAGCUUAACACAUGCAAGUCGAGCGGGCGUAGCAAUACGUCAGCGGCAGACGGGUGAGUAACGCGUGGGAACAUACCUUUUGGUUCGGAACAACACAGGGAAACUUGUGCUAAUACCGAAUAAGCCCUUACGGGGAAAGAUUUAUCGCCGAAAGAUUGGCCCGCGUCUGAUUAGCUAGUUGGUGAGGUAACGGCUCACCAAGGCGACGAUCAGUAGCUGGUCUGAGAGGAUGAUCAGCCACAUUGGGACUGAGACACGGCCCAAACUCCUACGGGAGGCAGCAGGUGGGAAUAUUGGACAAGUGGGCGCAAGCCUGAUCCAGCCAUGCCGCGUGAGUGAUGAAGGCCCUAGGGUUGUAAAGCUCUUUUGUGCGGGAAGAUAAUGACGGUACCGCAAGAAGUAACGCCCGGCUAACGUUCGCGCCAGCAGCCGC